AGUGGCCUAGUUGUUCAAACAUCCGGCUGGGUAUCUUGAGGAUGCGGGUUCAAAUCCC
RNAcentral lists this transfer RNA (58 nucleotides) under Oxyrrhis marina. The record is from RNAcentral. Lineage: Eukaryota; Dinophyceae; Oxyrrhinales; Oxyrrhinaceae.